GAUGAACGCUGGCGGCGUGCCUAAUACAUGCAAGUCGAGCGAACGGACGAGAAGCUUGCUUCUCUGAUGUUAGCGGCGGACGGGUGAGUAACACGUGGAUAACCUACCUAUAAGACUGGGAUAACUUCGGGAAACCGGAGCUAAUACCGGAUAAUAUUUUGAACCGCAUGGUUCAAAAGUGAAAGACGGUCUUGCUGUCACUUAUAGAUGGAUCCGCGCUGCAUUAGCUAGUUGGUAAGGUAACGGCUUACCAAGGCAACGAUGCAUAGCCGACCUGAGAGGGUGAUCGGCCACACUGGAACUGAGACACGGUCCAGACUCCUACGGGAGGCAGCAGUAGGGAAUCUUCCGCAAUGGGCGAAAGCCUGACGGAGCAACGCCGCGUGAGUGAUGAAGGGCUUCGGAUCGUAAAACUCUGUUAUUAGGGAAGAACAUAUGGUAAGUAACUGUGCACAUCUUGACGGUACCUAAUCAGAAAGCCACGGCUAACUACGUG
This 496-nucleotide ribosomal RNA is filed under the name uncultured bacterium. RNAcentral describes it as "partial 16S ribosomal RNA". It matches the Rfam family "Bacterial small subunit ribosomal RNA", at positions 28 to 507 of the family's 1533-position model. The record is from RNAcentral.